UUAAGUUAUUAAGGGCGCACGGUGGAUGCCUUGGCACUAGAAGCCGAUGAAGGACGUUACUAACGACGAUAUGCUUUGGGGAGCUGUAAGUAAGCUUUGAUCCAGAGAUUUCCGAAUGGGGAAACCCAGCAUGAGUUAUGUCAUGUUAUCGAUAUGUGAAUACAUAGCAUAUCAGAAGGCACACCCGGAGAACUGAAACAUCUUAGUACCCGGAGGAAGAGAAAGAAAAUUCGAUUCCCUUAGUAGCGGCGAGCGAAACGGGAAGAGCCCAAACCAACAAGCUUGCUUGUUGGGGUUGUAGGACACUCUAUACGGAGUUACAAAGGACGACAUUAGACGAAUCAUCUGGAAAGAUGAAUCAAAGAAGGUAAUAAUCCUGUAGUCGAAAAUGUUGUCUCUCUUGAGUGGAUCCUGAGUACGACGGAGCACGUGAAAUUCCGUCGGAAUCUGGGAGGACCAUCUCCUAAGGCUAAAUACUCUCUAGUGACCGAUAGUGAACCAGUACCGUGAGGGAAAGGUGAAAAGCACCCCGGAAGGGGAGUGAAAUAGAACCUGAAACCGUGUGCUUACAAGUAGUCAGAGCCCGUUAAUGGGUGAUGGCGUGCCUUUUGUAGAAUGAACCGGCGAGUUACGAUUUGAUGCAAGGUUAAGCAGUAAAUGUGGAGCCGUAGCGAAAGCGAGUCUGAAUAGGGCGUUUAGUAUUUGGUCGUAGACCCGAAACCAGGUGAUCUACCCUUGGUCAGGUUGAAGUUCAGGUAACACUGAAUGGAGGACCGAACCGACUUACGUUGAAAAGUGAGCGGAUGAACUGAGGGUAGCGGAGAAAUUCCAAUCGAACCUGGAGAUAGCUGGUUCUCUCCGAAAUAGCUUUAGGGCUAGCCUCAAGUGAUGAUUAUUGGAGGUAGAGCACUGUUUGGACGAGGGGCCCCUCUCGGGUUACCGAAUUCAGACAAACUCCGAAUGCCAAUUAAUUUAACUUGGGAGUCAGAACAUGGGUGAUAAGGUCCGUGUUCGAAAGGGAAACAGCCCAGACCACCAGCUAAGGUCCCAAAAUAUAUGUUAAGUGGAAAAGGAUGUGGCGUUGCCCAGACAACUAGGAUGUUGGCUUAGAAGCAGCCAUCAUUUAAAGAGUGCGUAAUAGCUCACUAGUCGAGUGACACUGCGCCGAAAAUGUACCGGGGCUAAACAUAUUACCGAAGCUGUGGAUUGUCCUUUGGACAAUGGUAGGAGAGCGUUCUAAGGGCGUUGAAGCAUGAUCGUAAGGACAUGUGGAGCGCUUAGAAGUGAGAAUGCCGGUGUGAGUAGCGAAAGACGGGUGAGAAUCCCGUCCACCGAUUGACUAAGGUUUCCAGAGGAAGGCUCGUCCGCUCUGGGUUAGUCGGGUCCUAAGCUGAGGCCGACAGGCGUAGGCGAUGGAUAACAGGUUGAUAUUCCUGUACCACCUAUAAUCGUUUUAAUCGAUGGGGGGACGCAGUAGGAUAGGCGAAGCGUGCGAUUGGAUUGCACGUCUAAGCAGUAAGGCUGAGUAUUAGGCAAAUCCGGUACUCGUUAAGGCUGAGCUGUGAUGGGGAGAAGACAUUGUGUCUUCGAGUCGUUGAUUUCACACUGCCGAGAAAAGCCUCUAGAUAGAAAAUAGGUGCCCGUACCGCAAACCGACACAGGUAGUCAAGAUGAGAAUUCUAAGGUGAGCGAGCGAACUCUCGUUAAGGAACUCGGCAAAAUGACCCCGUAACUUCGGGAGAAGGGGUGCUCUUUAGGGUUAACGCCCAGAAGAGCCGCAGUGAAUAGGCCCAAGCGACUGUUUAUCAAAAACACAGGUCUCUGCUAAACCGUAAGGUGAUGUAUAGGGGCUGACGCCUGCCCGGUGCUGGAAGGUUAAGAGGAGUGGUUAGCUUCUGCGAAGCUACGAAUCGAAGCCCCAGUAAACGGCGGCCGUAACUAUAACGGUCCUAAGGUAGCGAAAUUCCUUGUCGGGUAAGUUCCGACCCGCACGAAAGGCGUAACGAUUUGGGCACUGUCUCAACGAGAGACUCGGUGAAAUCAUAGUACCUGUGAAGAUGCAGGUUACCCGCGACAGGACGGAAAGACCCCGUGGAGCUUUACUGUAGCCUGAUAUUGAAAUUCGGCACAGCUUGUACAGGAUAGGUAGGAGCCUUUGAAACGUGAGCGCUAGCUUACGUGGAGGCGCUGGUGGGAUACUACCCUAGCUGUGUUGGAUUUCUAACCCGCACCACUUAUCGUGGUGGGAGACAGUGUCAGGCGGGCAGUUUGACUGGGGCGGUCGCCUCCUAAAAGGUAACGGAGGCGCUCAAAGGUUCCCUCAGAAUGGUUGGAAAUCAUUCAUAGAGUGUAAAGGCAUAAGGGAGCUUGACUGCGAGACCUACAAGUCGAGCAGGGUCGAAAGACGGACUUAGUGAUCCGGUGGUUCCGCAUGGAAGGGCCAUCGCUCAACGGAUAAAAGCUACCCCGGGGAUAACAGGCUUAUCUCCCCCAAGAGUUCACAUCGACGGGGAGGUUUGGCACCUCGAUGUCGGCUCAUCGCAUCCUGGGGCUGUAGUCGGUCCCAAGGGUUGGGCUGUUCGCCCAUUAAAGCGGUACGCGAGCUGGGUUCAGAACGUCGUGAGACAGUUCGGUCCCUAUCCGUCGUGGGCGUAGGAAAUUUGAGAGGAGCUGUCCUUAGUACGAGAGGACCGGGAUGGACAUACCUCUGGUGUACCAGUUGUCGUGCCAACGGCAUAGCUGGGUAGCUAUGUGUGGACGGGAUAAGUGCUGAAAGCAUCUAAGCAUGAAGCCCCCCUCAAGAUGAGAUUUCCCAACUUCGGUUAUAAGAUCCCUCAAAGAUGAUGAGGUUAAUAGGUUCGAGGUGGAAGCAUGGUGACAUGUGGAGCUGACGAAUACUAAUCGAUCGAAGACUUAAUCAA
This 2921-nucleotide ribosomal RNA is filed under the name Staphylococcus aureus. Its description in RNAcentral is "bacterial LSU rRNA". It matches the Rfam family "Bacterial large subunit ribosomal RNA". The record is from RNAcentral. Lineage: Bacteria; Bacillati; Bacillota; Bacilli; Caryophanales; Staphylococcaceae.